UUUUAUGGAGAGUUUGAUCCUGGCUCAGGAUGAACGCUGGCGGCGUGCCUAAUACAUGCAAGUCGAGCGAACAGACGAGGAGCUUGCUCCUCUGACGUUAGCGGCGGACGGGUGAGUAACACGUGGAUAACCUACCUAUAAGACUGGGAUAACUUCGGGAAACCGGAGCUAAUACCGGAUAAUAUAUUGAACCGCAUGGUUCAAUAGUGAAAGACGGUUUUGCUGUCACUUAUAGAUGGAUCCGCGCCGCAUUAGCUAGUUGGUAAGGUAACGGCUUACCAAGGCAACGAUGCGUAGCCGACCUGAGAGGGUGAUCGGCCACACUGGAACUGAGACACGGUCCAGACUCCUACGGGAGGCAGCAGUAGGGAAUCUUCCGCAAUGGGCGAAAGCCUGACGAGCAACGCGCGUGAGU
RNAcentral lists this ribosomal RNA (415 nucleotides) under Staphylococcus epidermidis NIHLM003. RNAcentral describes it as "bacterial SSU rRNA". It matches the Rfam family "Bacterial small subunit ribosomal RNA", at positions 1 to 406 of the family's 1533-position model. Lineage: Bacteria; Bacillati; Bacillota; Bacilli; Caryophanales; Staphylococcaceae. The record is from RNAcentral.